This 381-nucleotide RNase P RNA is filed under the name Planctomycetota bacterium. Its description in RNAcentral is "RNase P RNA component class A". It matches the Rfam family "Bacterial RNase P class A". From Rfam's summary of the family: Ribonuclease P (RNase P) is a ubiquitous endoribonuclease, found in archaea, bacteria and eukarya as well as chloroplasts and mitochondria. Its best characterised activity is the generation of mature 5'-ends of tRNAs by cleaving the 5'-leader elements of precursor-tRNAs. The record is from RNAcentral. Lineage: Bacteria; Pseudomonadati; Planctomycetota.
CGAGAGGACCGGACGGUCGCUCCGCGGGCCUCGCCCGCGGGGAGGAAAGUCCGGGCUCCACGGGUCAGGGUGGUUGCUAACGGCAACCGGCCGCGAGGCCAGGGAAAGUGCCACAGAAAACAGACCGCCACGGUCGGCCCCCGGGCAGGCCGCGGUAAGGGUGAAAAGGUGCGGUAAGAGCGCACCGCGGUCCUGGUGACAGGGCCGGCACGGCAAACCCCACCUGGAGAAAGACCAAAUAGGGAGGGCCCAGCGUCGCCGACCCGCGGCCAUGGCCCUCCGGGUAGGUCGUUCGAGGCCGGGCGCGAGUCCGGCCCCAGAGAAAUGACCGUCGCCCUCCUCGGAGGGAGACAGGAUCCGGCUUACAGGUCCUCUCGCGCC